GCCGCCUGCGUGGAGAAGAGGCCUGACACAUCCAUAUGUACGGGCCUGAAGGACACAGACAGGUAGCACUAUAGACGUGGAGGGCACUCAUAACAAGAACAAGAUUUAAAAUCAUCUAAAGUAGGGCACUCAUACAAAUAAGACAUUUCUCUAGGUAUUAUGUAUCCGAGCUCGCAACAAUGACGAGAUCGUGAGUGAAAAACAGAAAUGCCCUCAUGGGAAUAAGAAAAACUCGCAAGUCAGAAGCUUAACCAAAUUCCGAGCUCUUAGCCCGGGUCAGUUCGACUAGCAAAGUCCCAGUAGAGCCAGUCUGGUCCAUCAAGUAAGUAAAAUUGACAAAG
This 341-nucleotide long non-coding RNA is filed under the name Manihot esculenta (cassava). RNAcentral describes it as "long non-coding RNA (MESC_LNC006831)". Lineage: Eukaryota; Viridiplantae; Streptophyta; Magnoliopsida; Malpighiales; Euphorbiaceae. The record is from RNAcentral.